CGGGACGUGGCGCAGCUUGGUAGCGCACCUGCUUUGGGAGCAGGGGGUCGCAGGUUCAAAUCCUGUCGUCCCGA
This 74-nucleotide transfer RNA is filed under the name Corynebacterium otitidis. Its description in RNAcentral is "tRNA-Pro". It matches the Rfam family "tRNA". From Rfam's summary of the family: Transfer RNA (tRNA) molecules are approximately 80 nucleotides in length. Their secondary structure includes four short double-helical elements and three loops (D, anti-codon, and T loops). RNAcentral also lists the same sequence under 4 other names. Lineage: Bacteria; Bacillati; Actinomycetota; Actinomycetes; Mycobacteriales; Corynebacteriaceae. The record is from RNAcentral.